UCAAUCUGGUGGAAUAUAUUUGUUACUGAAGGAUUUUAAGAUAAUGUACCCAGACUACGGAGACAAGUUUAAUGAAAAUUGGCCCUUAAUUAAAUCAAAACUUAUAAGCAUUGCAAAAAAGAAAGGAUUAAUAAAUGAGAUUGAUGAGUCCAAUGAAGAACAAACUGAUUUAGCCGCUCUAACAUCGCUACCUUUUUUGAUGAGCACAUCAAAUGUUACUUCUACAAAGAAAGCAACUAAAAAGACACAAUGGAGACCAUCAAAGCAAGAGGUAUUGGAAGGCUUCAUAACUCAAGUCGCAAGUCCAGCUGAGGUAGCAGUAGAGAUAACAAGAAAAAGAGACAAGCUUAUGGAAAUGGGCCUUCAAAUGCAACCUUUUGUAAUUGCAGUUGUGUCACCGAAUAAAUCAAUUACAGCAAGGUACAUAGUGAUUAAUAACAUAACAUAUGAAAUGCCAACUAUUACAAAAGCUGUAGAAGCUUGUUUAAAGGCGAUUUUUGUAUUGAAUGCUGAAUAUCCUAAAGAGUCCCGUCAUGUCUGGCAGUUUGUACAAACUGUACUUUUUGAGUUAAAAACGAAAUAUGAUAAAAGCUUUACUGCAGUAAAUACACUUAUAUCGGAUCUCGGCAUUAAAACAUAAAGAACAAGCAUUGAUCACAUAAAUCGCAUAUAAGCAUACAAACUAAAAUGCCCAAGUGUUUCCUAUGUUUGAAAGACCUGACAAGUGUACCAAACCUAAUGACACAUUUUUCUUUGAAUCAUGAAAGACAAAAUUUUAGUGUUUAUCAUUGCAUUGAAGAUGAUUGUAAUCGUUCUUUCCAUUUAAGGAAUACCUAUCGAAAACAUCUAUACCAUAGUCAUGCUACUGCUAGGGGUAGGAUAUUAAAUUCCGAUUCUGAUAAUACACAUUCUGAAAAUACUAGUAAUAUAUCAGUUCUUCAACCCUCGUAUUCACAUUCUAAUAUCUCCUUGAAUUUUGUUGAACCCCCAUUAGAAACUAACAAGUAUGCUUUAGUUCAUUUUAUUUCAUCCCUGUAUGCAAAUCCUCUGCUUCCGAGAAAUGUCAUUCAAGAUGUAGUCGAUGGCAUACACAGGUAUAUGUGUAGUAGUUUAACAUCAAACAUAGAAAGUGUAUUUUCAGAAAUAACGACAACUGCUGAACAAGGAAAUUAUAUUAGACCUUUUAAAGAAAAGCUUUUGUCUAUUGUAAAAGAUGAGUGUAAGGAGUUUGACACUGAAUUCAAAAGACUUGGGUUCUUAGAAAAGCAGGGGACUUAUAUACCACCAAAAAAAGUUGUAAUAGGUAAUAGAAUGUGUAAUAUCAAAGAACGAGGGGUAGUCAAAUAUAAAUCAGUAGAAUGUACAGAGCAGCUAAUACCUCUUCGAUUCGUGUUGCAAAAUUUUUUUUCACUCAAAGGUGUGAUCAAAGAAACAUUCGAUUAUGUUAACGGUUUGAACUCUAACUGUUUGCAAAACUUUGUCCAAGGUAACUAUUGGAGAAGUGUCAUUGAACAAUAUGAUGGUAAAUUGGUAUUUCCUUUAUUCAUGUAUUUUGAUGAUUAUGAGACAGGAAAUGUACUUGGAACUCAUUCUGGAAUACACAAAUUAGGAGCUGUGUAUGUUUCAGUUGCUUGCAUGCCUCCGGACCGAACAUCUUCCCUAGAUAACAUAUUUCUGGCUUUAUUAUUUCACUCCACAGAUAGAAUAGUUUUUGGAAACAAUGUGAUAUUUGAACCUUUGAUACAAGAAUUAAAUUUUUUAUCAGAAACUGGUGUGAACAUAGAUGUGCCUGAAUAUAAAGGCAAAUUGUAUUUCAGACUAGGGCUAAUUCUUGGAGACAACCUUGGGAUACACUCAAUUGCCGGAUUUAAUGAAACAUUUUCUUCAAACUUUCCAUGCCGUAUUUGCAAUGUGUCAAAAGAAAACUUGAAAGAUCAGUUAUUUGAAAACGUAAAUUUGCUUCGUAAUUCUGAAAAUUACAACGCCCAAUUACUACUUAACUCCUCAUCUCACACUGGUAUCAAAGAAAAAUGUGUAUGGCUCUCAGUUACUAACUUUAGUUUAUUUGACCAACUAGGUGUUGACAUAAUGCACGAUAUUUUAGAGGGCGUAGCCAAGUACAUCAUGUCAUUUAUUAUUGUAAAAUAUACUAGCGAAUUAAAAUAUUUCACAUUCAAAACUUUGAAUGACAGAAUGGAACAUUUUGACUUUGGUCCAGACAGCUCAAGUAGACCUUGUCAAAUAAUAACAAAUAAUGUUAUUCGACUAUCAGCUUCUGAAAUGUUGUCAUUUGUGAGAUACUUUAAUUUGCUUGUGGGCGAUUACGUCCCAACUGAUGACCGUUACUGGACCCUUUACUUAACUUUGCGAAACAUAAUUAACUUAUUAAUGAGUACUAUAUUUAAUAAAGAAAAAUGUAAUUUAUUACAAUUUUUAAUAAGUGAACUCAACGAGCUUUAUAUAAAAUUAAGUAAUGAAACCCUCAAACCUAAAUUUCACUUUUUGGUCCAUUACCCUUCAAUGAUUUUAAAAUUUGGCCCACUUGUAAACUUUUGGAGUAUGCGAUACGAGGCCAAGCAUCGCGUUUCAAAAAUUUCUGCUCGAGCUAACUUUAAUCGACGCAAUAUUACUCUUAGCUUAGCUAAAAAGCACCAGUUGCAGUUGAACAAAAUAUUUGUUGAAGGCUCAUUGAAAUCUCCUAUUUCUGUUGGUGUUACAAAGAGAAUCUCAAAACUUGACCGGAGUACUGUUAUAUCUUACUUAAAUUUAGACCCGAGUCUAUCUCUUGUAUCUGUUACAUGGGCAAAAGUAAAGAGUAUUCUUUAUAAACCUGGGACGAUUCUUCUUCAUAAUGUAACUGGGAAUUAUGAUGAUAUCGGAAAUGUUACAUUUAUGAAUGUCAAUAAUCUUUAUAUAUACAACGAAGACAAAAUUAUUUUUGAAACUACAUUACUAUCGACGAUUGAUUUUAAUUUUCAUUUAGAUUGUUUUGAAGUCAAGUAUUCUGAUGUGAAGAAAAGGAUAUAUAUGUUUCAUGAUAAUUUAUUAUCAUAUGUACCUUGUCAUAUCAAUGUUACUCAUGAUGGUAAAUUGUACGUUACACAGAGAGCCCAAUCAUAGCAUCUCCAAUUAUGUAUGCCUACUACUUAAUGGGGCUACUUUUCAAUCAAUGUAAAUCACACUGUAAUCUUAAACUAAAAAAAAAACAAAAGCUGCCCCCGAUAGGAACCUAUAAUGUAACCUAUGUUAUAUUGUACUAAUAUGACUGGCCUGUUGAUCUAGUGACCCUGACUGCUAUGCCAGAGGUCGUGGGUUCGAUUCCCACCCAGGACAAAUGUUUGUGUGAUGAGCACGAUCAUUUGUUCUGUGUCUGGUUGUAAUUUAUCUAUAAUAUGUAUGUAUUUAGAAAUAUAUAAGUAAGUUUAUCAGUUGUCUAGUUCCCAUAACAAUAGCUCUGCUUAGCUUGUGGCUAGAUGGCGUUGUGUGAUAGUUGUGGAAUAUUUAUUUAUUUAUUUUAUUUAAUAGUAGUUAAUUGAAUAGAAAAUUAGCUAUAUAUCUUAGUUAAUUGAGGAGCUGUUUAAAAAAAAAAGUGUCUGGGGGCGACAUUUUUUCAAAAUAAUAUAUCUAUUGAUUUUAAA
Molecule: long non-coding RNA, 3638 nt
Organism: Helicoverpa armigera (cotton bollworm)
Lineage: Eukaryota; Metazoa; Arthropoda; Insecta; Lepidoptera; Noctuidae
Exons: 3
Source: RefSeq, a predicted model, not a curated record